This 207-nucleotide ribosomal RNA is filed under the name Triticum aestivum (bread wheat). Its description in RNAcentral is "partial small subunit ribosomal RNA". Lineage: Eukaryota; Viridiplantae; Streptophyta; Magnoliopsida; Poales; Poaceae. The record is from RNAcentral.
AUGGGAGGAGGAUCCUGUCGGGUCAGGCGGUCGCAGCCGGGGCAGGUGUCUGGACGGGGGGGAAGGACAGGAGGUGGAGGGUGGCCGAGAGGCACGGGUGGUUGGCGGGGGAGGAAUAGGAAGGUGGGCGGCGGGAAGGUGGUUCUUCGGGGAAGGGAGGUGGGCACGGGGGAGGCCUUGCUCGCCUCGCACGGACACAGCAGGUGA